GGAGAAGGGAAAUCUUGGGGUGCCUCAGUUACCAAGACAAGGGUGUUCAUUUCACAGCUUUCGUACCAAUACGUACAAACUCAGUUUUAUGGAGAGUCCAUCUGGUAUAAAGAUCAUUCUCGUCACUCAUCCCAGGACUGGUGAUCUAAGGGAUUCCCUGAAGUAUAUUUACAAUUUGUAAGUUGAAUAGGUUGUCAAGAAUCCACUCUAUAGUCCAGGAACUCCAAUCAGGUGAGUGAUAUAUAUUUUCUAUCUUAUUUUUAUCAUUGUGAAACACUUAUAUGAUGACCUAUUAGCUAAGGGUUUUAAAUGCUGCAUGACACCUCGGAGAUUUUCUAUGUAGAAGUUAAUUUGAUUGGGCUGUUGUCCCUGACGGGUGCCUUCUACCAUUUUGGAGAAUAGUUUUUGAGCAAAAUAUAACCAAAUAGAGAAAAUAUUGCAAGGAUUAAUUUAUUCAAUCUAAAACAAGUUUCAUUACUGACUAGAUUUAACCUGCUCACAUUUUUUACCAUGCAUUCAUUGGUCUUUUCUAGCUUGACACACAUAAAUAACACUCCUUUGUAAAU
Molecule: non-coding RNA, 566 nt
Organism: Camellia sinensis
Lineage: Eukaryota; Viridiplantae; Streptophyta; Magnoliopsida; Ericales; Theaceae
Source: RefSeq, a predicted model, not a curated record